Long non-coding RNA from Peromyscus leucopus (white-footed mouse), 909 nucleotides. RefSeq lists it as uncharacterized. The transcript has 10 exons. Lineage: Eukaryota; Metazoa; Chordata; Mammalia; Rodentia; Cricetidae. The record is from RefSeq and is a predicted model, not a curated record.
GGGCAAGGCUUUAGCGGCCAACACGCUGCUCAUGUCCCCGCCUCUUCUGCUGUCUUUCAGUGACCCGGGAUGCCGUUUCAGAGCCCGCAGCAUCCUGGCACAUUUCAGAGGUGCCCUUAGGAAGAAGAGAUCUCAUUCUGCUGCAUCCCUUGAAGCAGAGUUCACCAGGCCGAGCUGUCCUUUGGACCUAACCUUCUCACAGCCAAGGCCCUCAUCAGCACUGGCAGCCCUGUGACCCGGGAUGCCGUUUCAGAGCCCGCAGCAUCCUGGCACAUUUCAGAGGUGCCCUUAGGAAGAAGAGAUCUCAUUCUGCUGCAUCCCUUGAAGCAGAGUUCACCAGGCCGAGCUGUCCUUUGGACCUAACCUUCUCACAGCCAAGGCCCUCAUCAGCACUGGCAGCCCUGUGACCCGGGAUGCCGUUUCAGAGCCCGCAGCAUCCUGGCACAUUUCAGAGGUGCCCUUAGGAAGAAGAGAUCUCAUUCUGCUGCAUCCCUUGAAGCAGAGUUCACCAGGCCGAGCUGUCCUUUGGACCUAACCUUCUCACAGCCAAGGCCCUCAUCAGCACUGGCAGCCCUGUGACCCGGGAUGCCGUUUCAGAGCCCGCAGCAUCCUGGCACAUUUCAGAGGUGCCCUUAGGAAGAAGAGAUCUCAUUCUGCUGCAUCCCUUGAAGCAGAGUUCACCAGGCCGAGCUGUCCUUUGGACCUAACCUUCUCACAGCCAAGGCCCUCAUCAGCACUGGCAGCCCUGUGACCCGGGAUGCCGUUUCAGAGCCCGCAGCAUCCUGGCACAUUUCAGAGGUGCCCUUAGGAAGAAGAGAUCUCAUUCUGCUGCAUCCCUUGAAGCAGAGUUCACCAGGCCGAGCUGUCCUUUGGACCUAACCUUCUCACAGCCAAGGCCCUCAUCAGCAC